This 382-nucleotide long non-coding RNA is filed under the name Rhinopithecus roxellana (golden snub-nosed monkey). RNAcentral's name for it is "lncRNA (ENSRROG00000046006.1)". Lineage: Eukaryota; Metazoa; Chordata; Mammalia; Primates; Cercopithecidae. The record is from RNAcentral.
AAGGGAUUGGACCCUUAGCUGUCUGGCUGCAACUCACCUGCUGUGCCCUCAGCUUUUUCUGGUGUGCAGAUAGAGGGUGGGACUGGCAUUGCCUGGGACAGUCCCUAACCUGGGACAGCCUUCGAUGAUAUCACACCUGCACACCUCUGCAAGGAACCCGGUGGAGAGGAUGAGUGAAAUAGCCUGUGGGCAGCAGAGCCUGGAAGAACAGAGAACGACAAGCCUGUGCAGCCUUGGACUGUUUUGCUCUAAACAAGAAGAAAUCUACAAGGAAAGGAAGAAAUGUAGGAGAGAGUCCAGAUUCCAAUGAGACUCGGGCCUGACUCUAACCAGCUCAUGGCCUGGAAACUUUCCUCCCUUCCACAUUUUCUUGUCCAGGGUA